CCUACGGGUGGCAGCAGUGGGGAAUAUUGCACAAUGGGGGAAACCCUGAUGCAGCGACGCCGCGUGAGUGAAGAAGUAAUUCGUUAUGGAAAGCUCUAUCAGCAGGGAAGAAAAUGACGGUACCUGAGUAAGAAGCACUGUCUAACUACGUGCCAGAAGCCAUGGUAAAACGUAGGGGGCAAGCGUUAUCCGGAUUUACUGGGUGUAAAGGGAGCGUAGACGGCAGUGCAAGUCUGCAGUGAAAGGCGGGGGCUCAACCCCCGGACUGCUCUGGAAACUGUACGGCUGGAGUGCAGGAGAGGUAAGUGGAAUUCCUAGUGUAGCGGUGAAAUGCGUAGAUAUUAGGAGGAACGCCAGUGGCGAAGGCAGCUUACUGGACUGUAACUGACGUUGAGGCACGAAAGCGUGGGGAGCGAACAGGAUUAGAUACCCCAGUAGUC
Molecule: ribosomal RNA, 440 nt
Filed under: uncultured bacterium
Lineage: Bacteria
Description: partial 16S ribosomal RNA
Rfam family: Bacterial small subunit ribosomal RNA
Source: RNAcentral